RNAcentral lists this ribosomal RNA (510 nucleotides) under Naria spurca. RNAcentral describes it as "Erosaria spurca partial 16S ribosomal RNA". It matches the Rfam family "Bacterial large subunit ribosomal RNA", at positions 1817 to 2597 of the family's 2925-position model. Lineage: Eukaryota; Metazoa; Mollusca; Gastropoda; Littorinimorpha; Cypraeidae. The record is from RNAcentral.
GGCUCCUUGANNCACCUCCCAUAAGGAGUCGGACCUGCCCAGUGAAUUAAGUUUUCAACGGCCGCGGUACUCUGACCGUGCAAAGGUAGCAUAAUCAUUUGCCCUAUAAUUGAGGGCUAGUAUGAAUGGUUUGACGUGAGCAAAACUGUCUCUGUAUAAAUUUCCAGAAUUUGAUUUUUAGGUGAAGAAACCUAAGUUCUAUUGAUAGACAAGAAGACCCUAUUGAGCUUUAAAAGAACAAGUAGAAAAUAAUAUAUAGACUUAAAUAUUAAUCUACUUUAAAUUUUGGUUGGGGCGACUAAGGAACAAAUAAAGCUUCUUUACUACUUUUAUACCUACAGGUUUUGAUCCAGAAGUUCUGAUUAAUGGAAUUAGUUACCAUAGGGAUAACAGCAUAAUUUUCUUUGAGAGUCCUUAUCGAAAAGAAAGUUUGUGACCUCGAUGUUGGACUAGAAUAUCCUGAAGAUGCAGCAGUCUUUAAGGGUUGGUCUGUUCGACCAUUAAAAUUCU